ACAUUUGAGUGAGUGGCGAACUGGUGAGUAACACGUGGGAAACCUGCCCAGAAGCGGGGGAUAACACCUGGAAACAGAUGCUAAUACCGCAUAACAACUUGGACCGCAUGGUCCGAGUUUGAAAGAUGGCUUCGGCUAUCACUUUUGGAUGGUCCCGCGGCGUAUUAGCUAGAUGGUGGGGUAACGGCUCACCAUGGCAAUGAUACGUAGCCGACCUGAGAGGGUAAUCGGCCACAUUGGGACUGAGACACGGCCCAAACUCCUACGGGAGGCAGCAGUAGGGAAUCUUCCACAAUGGACGAAAGUCUGAUGGAGCAACGCCGCGUGAGUGAAGAAGGGUUUCGGCUCGUAAAACUCUGUUGUUAAAGAAGAACAUAUCUGAGAGUAACUGUUCAGGUAUUGACGGUAUUUAACCAGAAAGCCACGGCUAACUACGUGCCAGCAGCCGCGGUAAUACGUAGGUGGCAAGCGUUGUCCGGAUUUAUUGGGCGUAAAGCGAGCGCAGGCGGUUUUUUAAGUCUGAUGUGAAAGCCUUCGGCUCAACCGAAGAAGUGCAUCGGAAACUGGGAAACUUGAGUGCAGAAGAGGACAGUGGAACUCCAUGUGUAGCGGUGAAAUGCGUAGAUAUAUGGAAGAACACCAGUGGCGAAGGCGGCUGUCUGGUCUGUAACUGACGCUGAGGCUCGAAAGUAUGGGUAGCAAACAGGAUUAGAUACCCUGGUAGUCCAUACCGUAAACGAUGAAUGCUAAGUGUUGGAGGGUUUCCGCCCUUCAGUGCUGCAGCUAACGCAUUAAGCAUUCCGCCUGGGGAGUACGGCCGCAAGGCUGAAACUCAAAGGAAUUGACGGGGGCCCGCACAAGCGGUGGAGCAUGUGGUUUAAUUCGAAGCUACGCGAAGAACCUUACCAGGUCUUGACAUACUAUGCAAAUCUAAGAGAUUAGACGUUCCCUUCGGGGACAUGGAUACAGGUGGUGCAUGGUUGUCGUCAGCUCGUGUCGUGAGAUGUUGGGUUAAGUCCCGCAACGAGCGCAACCCUUAUUAUCAGUUGCCAGCAUUAAGUUGGGCACUCUGGUGAGACUGCCGGUGACAAACCGGAGGAAGGUGGGGAUGACGUCAAAUCAUCAUGCCCCUUAUGACCUGGGCUACACACGUGCUACAAUGGAUGGUACAACGAGUUGCGAACUCGCGAGAGUAAGCUAAUCUCUUAAAGCCAUUCUCAGUUCGGAUUGUAGGCUGCAACUCGCCUACAUGAAGUCGGAAUCGCUAGUAAUCGCGGAUCAGCAUGCCGCGGUGAAUACGUUCCCGGGCCUUGUACACACCGCCCGUCACACCAUGAGAGUUUGUAACACCCAAAGUCG
Molecule: ribosomal RNA, 1359 nt
Filed under: Lactiplantibacillus plantarum subsp. plantarum
Lineage: Bacteria; Bacillati; Bacillota; Bacilli; Lactobacillales; Lactobacillaceae
Description: bacterial SSU rRNA
Rfam family: Bacterial small subunit ribosomal RNA
Source: RNAcentral